UGGGUCCGCCCACAAUUCGUCCAACCGAGCUUCAUUUCACCUGGCCGACCCUGCUAAAUCCAUCCUACUGCAUCGUGUGUUUUUGAUAACAAGUUGCUGGUGACAAAGUCACAAUAAAACGUUGGAUGAUCAGCAUGGAAGGUGAUGUCAUCUGCAAAGGCGUCCAACCUAGCUUAAUCUCAGGGCUUGCUGCCCUUCUUGCCACCUACUAUGUGUUCAACUUGGAAUACCAAGAGGAAGGUCCUCGGACAUUGGAAUUUGUUCAAAGGGACCGAAGCACCAGUUUGACUCUAGGAUACAGAGAAGGUAGGUAAUGUGCAGGUAAAGAUAUGUUGACUGGGUCAAAGAAGGAAGCACCUGUUUGACCCCAGGAUGCAGAAAAAGUAGGUAAUUUGCAGGUAAAGAUAUGUUGACUGGAUGAUGGCA
This is a long non-coding RNA of Entelurus aequoreus (snake pipefish), 426 nucleotides long. RefSeq lists it as uncharacterized. The transcript is spliced from 3 exons. The record is from RefSeq and is a predicted model, not a curated record. NCBI's taxonomy places the organism in Eukaryota, Metazoa, Chordata, Actinopteri, Syngnathiformes, Syngnathidae.